The submitters of this non-coding RNA (75 nucleotides) gave its source as unclassified sequences. The record is from Rfam.
AUAUUGGUCUGGGAAAUAAGUGUGAAAUUCAUUUGCUGUUCCUGCAACGGUUAAAGUCCGAAUGCCAACCAAUAA